GUGUCAGCCGCCGCGGUAAUACGUAGGGGGCAAGCGUUAUCCGGAAUUACUGGGUGUAAAGGGAGAGUAGGCGGUAUGGUAAGUUAGAUGUGAAAGCCUGAGGCUUAACCACAGGAUUGCAUUUAAAACUAUCAAACUAGAGUACAGGAGAGGGAAGCGGAAUUCCUAGUGUAGCGGUGAAAUGCGUAGAUAUUAGGAAGAACACCAGUGGGGAGGGCGGCUUUCUGGACUGAAGCUGACGCUGAGGCUCGAAAGCGUGGGGAGAGAACAGGAUUAGAUACCCUGGUAGUCCACGCCGUAAACGAUGAGUGCUAGGUGUCGGGGGGGAACCCUCGGUGCCGCAGCAAACGCAAUAAGCACUCCACCUGGGGAGUACGAUCGCAAGAUUGAAACUUAAAUGAAUUGGCGG
This 409-nucleotide ribosomal RNA is filed under the name uncultured bacterium. Its description in RNAcentral is "bacterial SSU rRNA". It matches the Rfam family "Bacterial small subunit ribosomal RNA", at positions 505 to 916 of the family's 1533-position model. The record is from RNAcentral.